GGGGGAAAAAUUAAUAAGAUUAUAAUUAAUAAAAUAAUUUUUAAAGAAAAAAUAUUUAAUGGGGGUUAAAGUAUUUUUUUUAGAAAAAAUUAUAAAAUUUAUAAUUAAUUAGUAUUGUAAAAGAAAUUUGAAAAAUAUUUGAAAAUAAAUUUAUGAAAAAGUAAAUUUUAUUUAUUGUAUCUUGUGUAUCAGAGUUUAUUAAUAAAUAUUUUUAAAGAGAAAUUUCUCGAAUUUAAAAGAGUUAAUUAAUUAUAAAAGUUAAUAUUGCAUAAUUAUUUUAAAUAAUUAAUUAGAAAUGAAAUGUUAUUCGUUUUUAAAUAUAUCUAGUUUUUUUAGAAAAAAAUUUAAUUUUAGAUAUUAAAUUGAAAAAUAUUAUUUUAUUUAAUAUUUUUUUUUUAAUAUAAAAUAUUUUAAGGGAUAAGCUUUAAAAUAAAUUUUUAUAAUAUUUUUAUUUAAAUAAAAUUUUUAAAAUUUAUAUUGUUUAAAAAUUAUAAUUUUUUGUAAAUAAUUUUAUUUAAAUUUAAAAUUUAAUAUAAAUAUUUAAUUUUUUAUAAAAAAAAUAAUUUAUAAUAAUUAAAAAUUAGUUAUAAUGAUAAAAUUAGUAUAUAAAUAAAUUUUAUAAUAAUAAUAAUAAUUUAUUUAAAUUUAAUAAAAGGAAUUCGGCAAAUUUAUAUAUUCACUUGUUUAUCAAAAACAUGUCUUUUUGUUAAUAAUUUAAAGUCUAAUCUGCCCACUGAUAAAUUAUUAAAGGGCUGCAGUAUUUUGACUGUACAAAGGUAGCAUAAUCAUUAGUCUCUUAAUUGGUGACUUGUAUGAAGGAUUUCAUGAAAUAUUAACUGUCUCUUAUUAAUUUAUAAAAUUUAAUUUUUUAGUAAAAAAGCUAAAAUAAAUUUAAAAGACGAGAAGACCCUAUAGAGUUUAAUUAUUAAAAUAAUUUUUAUUUUUUAUAAAUUUUUUAAUUAAAAUUAUAUUAAUUAUUUUAUUGGGGUGAUAGAAAAAUUAAAAUAACUUUUUUUAAAAUUUAAACAUUAAUAAAUGAAUAUAUGAUCCGAUUUUAUCGAUUAAAAGAUUAAAUUACCUUAGGGAUAACAGCGUAAUUUUUUUUUUUAGUUCAAAUAAAAAAAAAAGUUUGCGACCUCGAUGUUGGAUUAAGAUAAAAUUUAAAUGCAAAAGUUUAAAAUUUUGAUCUGUUCGAUCAUUAAAAUCUUACAUGAUCUGAGUUCAAACCGGUGUAAGCCAGGUUGGUUUCUAUCUUUAAGAAAAAUUAAUAUUUUAGUACGAAAGGAUCAAAUAUUAAAAAUAAUUUUAAUAUAAGAAUUUUAAUAAUUAUAAUAUAAAAAUUAA
This 1344-nucleotide ribosomal RNA is filed under the name Graphium agamemnon. RNAcentral describes it as "16S ribosomal RNA". Lineage: Eukaryota; Metazoa; Arthropoda; Insecta; Lepidoptera; Papilionidae. The record is from RNAcentral.